AACGGGGCCUGUUCUCUCGCACCCCGUGUCCGGGGUCUCCGUGCUGCCCACCCCGCACUGCGACUGUCCCCAAUGCAGGCCAACCUCGGGCAACGCUGGGGAGUCCGAGGCAGGUCCCUUCGCCGCCUCCUGCCUCAGUUGCCUCAUCUGUGGAAUUGGAAGGGAGCAGACGCCUUCCUAAGGCUGUUGGGAGGACUGAACGAGUUAAUACGAUAAAAGUAUCCGGCGUGUCACAAGCAUGCCCCAUGACUGCACAAUGCUGAACCUGCUGACCCAGGUGACAGCCGGCCAGGCUGAGACCCCGCCCCUCCCAGGCUCACGGAGACAGGCCUGUGUCCUAAGCGCCGCAGAUCCGGGCAAGGCGCUCCUGAGAGCUGUGGUUAGACGGCUGGGUGGUUUGGGACAGAAACCACCAACUUCCUCUGAAGUUUUCCAAGCUUUCCCCAUCCGGGAAAAGCGGCCCUGGAUGCUGCCCUUGUAAACCCACCCUGUGCAGCAGAGACUUGUAUCUGUGGUCUGCUCUCCCUCGGUGGGCUUUGCUCCACAAAGGGCUCUCUCUUUUCUUUUUUUUUUUUUCCUUUUCUUUUCUUUUUUCCUCUUUUCUUUUCUCUCGAGACAGGGUUUCUCUGUGUAGCCCUGGCUGUCCUGGGACUCGCCGUGUAGACCAUGCUGGCCUCUAACUCAGAUGUCUGCCUUCCUCUGCCUCCUGAGAGUGCUGGGAUUAAAGGCGUGCGCCACCCCCCACCCAGCUUCACAGGGAGCUUUUCUAGUCCUGGCUCCAGGUUUUUCUUUGACUUUGCCUUCGGCUCUCCGGAACCAUGCAGCAAUAUAAAGUGCAUUUGUAGAGCUAUGUAUAGUCUUUACUCAGUUCCAGAAUCAGGCGGAUCUGUUGUGAUGUCGCCAAACACCUCGCUCUGCAGAGACAGCCCUACAGCCACGCUGGGAGAGGAACAAAACGAGUCCAGGUGGAGCCCAGGCGCACACUCCCUCCUUGCUCGGACAACGGAUUCUGGUUGGGAGGUGAGGAAAGCCACCCAGCCUGCGGAUCUGGAAUCCGAGCGAGGCAGCCUCCAGGUGGCGUGGGCCCGGACCUUCUCGGAGGCUCCCUGGUUGACUCCUUGUAGAUACUUGUGGGUCAGAAUGCUUUAUUUCAGCCUCCCCUGCUUUACCUGUUCCCAAGUCACAGGGCCCAGGAUUCACUCGGUCAGGCUGCUAG
RNAcentral lists this long non-coding RNA (1216 nucleotides) under Meriones unguiculatus (Mongolian gerbil). RNAcentral describes it as "lncRNA (ENSMUGG00000009386.1)". The record is from RNAcentral. Lineage: Eukaryota; Metazoa; Chordata; Mammalia; Rodentia; Muridae.